RNAcentral lists this ribosomal RNA (502 nucleotides) under uncultured Glomus. RNAcentral describes it as "SSU rRNA". It matches the Rfam family "Eukaryotic small subunit ribosomal RNA", at positions 569 to 1078 of the family's 1831-position model. Lineage: Eukaryota; Fungi; Glomeromycota; Glomeromycetes; Glomerales; Glomeraceae. The record is from RNAcentral.
AGCAGCCGCGGUAAUUCCAGCUCCAAUAGCGUAUAUUAAAGUUGCUGCAGUUAAAAAGCUCGUAGUUGAAUUUCGGGACUAAUAUGUCGGUCGUGCCUCGGUACGUACUGGCUUAUUGGUUUCUCCUUUCUGAAGAACCAUGAUGUCAUUUAUUUGGUGUCGUGAGGAAUCAGGACUGUUACUUUGAAAAAAUUAGAGUGUUUAAAGCAGGCUCACGCUUGAAUACAUUAGCAUGGAAUAAUGAAAUAGGACGUUUGAUUCUAUUUUGUUGGUUUCUAGGAUCGACGUAAUGAUUAAUAGGGAUAGUUGGGGGCAUUAGUAUUCAAUUGUCAGAGGUGAAAUUCUUGGAUUUAUUGAAGACUAACUACUGCGAAAGCAUUUGCCAAGGAUGUCUUCAUUAAUCAAGAACGAAAGUUAGGGGAUCGAAGACGAUCAGAUACCGUCGUAGUCUUAACCAUAAACUAUGCCGACUAGGGAUCGGAUGAUGUUAAUUUUUAAUGUA